AGUGAACGCUGGCGGUAGGCCUAACUCAUGCAAGUCGAACGGCAGCACAGUAAGAGCUUGCUCUUACGGGUGGCGAGUGGCGGACGGGUGAGGAAUACAUCGGAAUCUACUUUUUCGUGGGGGAUAACGUAGGGAAACUUACGCUAAUACCGCAUACGACCUACGGGUGAAAGCAGGGGAUAUUCGGACCUUGCGCGAUUGAAUGAGCCGAUGUCGGAUUAGCUAGUUGGCGGGGUAAAGGCCCACCAAGGCGACGAUCCGUAGCUGGUCUGAGAGGAUGAUCAGCCACACUGGAACUGGGACACGGUCCAGACUCCUACGGGAGGCAGCAGAGGGGAAUAUUGGACAAUGGGCGCAAGCCUGAUCCAGCCAUACCGCGUGGGUGAAGAAGGCCUUCGGGUUGUAAAGCCCUUUUGUUGGGAAAGAAAAGCAGCAGGUUAAUACCCCGCUGUUCUGACGGUAACCAAAGAAUAAGCACCGGCUAACUUCGUG
RNAcentral lists this ribosomal RNA (492 nucleotides) under uncultured bacterium. RNAcentral describes it as "partial 16S ribosomal RNA". It matches the Rfam family "Bacterial small subunit ribosomal RNA", at positions 29 to 507 of the family's 1533-position model. The record is from RNAcentral.